Molecule: transfer-messenger RNA, 383 nt
Filed under: Coxiellaceae
Lineage: Bacteria; Pseudomonadati; Pseudomonadota; Gammaproteobacteria; Legionellales
Also listed under: 1 other name
Description: Coxiella sp009883795 Standard tmRNA
Rfam family: transfer-messenger RNA
About the family: Bacterial tmRNA, also known as 10Sa RNA or SsrA, is named for its dual tRNA and mRNA-like properties.
Source: RNAcentral
GGGGGUGACAGGAUUCGACGUAAAUUUUAGGCCGAAGACGCAUGCCGAGUCGGCAACAUAGGCUCGUAAAAUCUUUCAGUUGCAACUUUGUAUAUCUGCAAACGAUACACAAUACGCUAUAGCUGCUUAAUUUAUUGGUAGCUAUCCACAAAUCGGAAUUUGCUUGUAGUUUCCGAGCAGUGGUCAUAAUCACAACAAGAUCGCUAUCUAAAAGAUGCCCCGAAUUUUGGAUCUGGCUAAAAACAUAUGGGGAUUGCGACUACACAAUAUGUUCCGCUCGUCGAGCACUCUAGUCGUACAAACACAGAAGGCGAUGCUACGCAUGUAGUUGUCGGAGGUGGAAAAUUUUUCGGACGCGGGUUCAAUUCCCGCCACCUCCACCA